GAGAUUCCUACGGGAGGCAGCAGUGGGGAAUUUUCCGCAAUGGGCGAAAGCCUGACGGAGCAACGCCGCGUGAGGGAUGAAGGCCUCUGGGCUGUAAACCUCUUUUAUCAAGGAAGAAGAUCUGACGGUACUUGAUGAAUAAGCCACGGCUAAUUCCGUGCCAGCAGCCGCGGUAAUACGGGAGUGGCAAGCGUUAUCCGGAAUUAUUGGGCGUAAAGCGUCCGCAGGCGGCCCUUCAAGUCUGCUGUUAAAACGUGGAGCUUAACUCCAUCAUGGCAGUGGAAACUGUUGGGCUUGAGUGUGGUAGGGGCAGAGGGAAUUCCCGGUGUAGCGGUGAAAUGCGUAGAUAUCGGGAAGAACACCAGUGGCGAAGGCGCUCUGCUGGGCCAUAACUGACGCUCAUGGACGAAAGCCAGGGGAGCGAAAGGGAUUAGAUACCCCUGUAGUCCUGGCCGUAAACGAUGAACACUAGGUGUCGGGGGAAUCGACCCCCUCGGUGUCGUAGCUAACGCGUUAAGUGUUCCGCCUGGGGAGUACGCACGCAAGUGUGAAACUCAAAGGAAUUGACGGAAUCGUCG
This 578-nucleotide ribosomal RNA is filed under the name uncultured bacterium. RNAcentral's name for it is "bacterial SSU rRNA". It matches the Rfam family "Bacterial small subunit ribosomal RNA", at positions 332 to 924 of the family's 1533-position model. The record is from RNAcentral.